Molecule: unclassified non-coding RNA, 378 nt
Filed under: plant metagenome
Description: partial contains 5.8S ribosomal RNA, internal transcribed spacer 2, and large subunit ribosomal RNA
Rfam family: 5.8S ribosomal RNA (bases 1-105)
Source: RNAcentral
GCAAUGCGAUCAGUAAUGUGAAUUGCAGAAUUCAGUGAAUCAUCGAAUCUUUGAACGCAUCUUGCGCUCCUUGGUAUUCCUUGGAGCAUGCCUGUUUGAGUAUCAUGAAAUCUUCAAAGUAAAUCUUUUGUUAACUCAAUUGGUUUCUACUUUGGUAUUGGAGGUCUUUGCAGCUUCACACCUGCUCCUCUUUGUUCAUUAGCUGGAUCUCAGUGUUAUGCUUGGUUCCACUCGGCGUGAUAAGUUAUCUAUCGCUGAGGACACUGUAAAAGGUGGCCAAGGUAAAUGCAGAUGAACCGCUUCUAAUAGUCCAUUGACUUGGACAAUACUUUUAUGAUCUGAUCUCAAAUCAGGUAGGACUACCCGCUGAACUUAAGC